This is a long non-coding RNA of Zonotrichia leucophrys gambelii, 1268 nucleotides long. RefSeq lists it as uncharacterized. NCBI's taxonomy places the organism in Eukaryota, Metazoa, Chordata, Aves, Passeriformes, Passerellidae. The record is from RefSeq and is a predicted model, not a curated record. The transcript is spliced from 3 exons.
GCGCAUUCUUGGUUUGCAGAUAAGAAAAUCCCUCUGAAGGACAUGAAAAAUCUUGACAAGUGAACGAGUGAACUGAAUAAUGUGUUGCAACAUGUCAACUGAUCCAAGAACGGUACAGACAGGUUACUCGUCAAUGACAACAAAGGUUGGAGCCAUCAUGUGAUUCGCCGUCUGUCACAACAACCAUGACUUUUGUGGCCGUCGGGCGUCCUCCCGACUCAGCUGAGAAGGCAUACUGUCUGUGAUAAAACAUUGGGUUUAUCACUCAUCAACCCAUCAUGGAUGCAACCAGCACACACACUGUGAUGGAUAUGCCCAUCACUGAAUUAGAGCAAGCUGCUUCUGUAGUGCAUAAGGAAUGUAACUAAAGAAGCAGGAAAAAAAUAGGGCUGGAAGGACUGGGUGGUGUUUCUGAUAAAAAUGUAAACUUCAGGAAAAACAAUAUUUUUUUGUACAAAUAUUUCUAAAUGAAAAGGGGGCUGUAUCAGAACUGUUAAAGUUUUAUGACACCAGGAAUUGGCAUCAUCAAGCUCAUACAAAAAUGGAACUAAUAAUAGACUUCUCAAUACUUCUGCAAAUAUUGAUUCCAUUGAUAGCUGAACCUGUUCCUAAAGCAAAUUCUCCAGUUCAUGUGAUUCAGCAUGUAUUUUGGCCUAGAGUUCUGUACUUGAUAAAACUUCAAAACAGCAUCUUCUUGCUGAGAUGGACCUGGUUUAUACAUGUGUUCAGAGUCAUAAAGCAUUGGUUUAAAUUUUCCCUAUUUUUUCACACUCAUGCUGCUGCAGUGAUAAACUGACAACAGACAAGAGGUUUUUAUUUUCUCUGCAACCAACCAAAGCCUGAUCUGCAAACACAAAUGUUAUUGAGCCCACUGAAUCCCUGGAUAAACUUUGCUUCUUUCAGUGGUUUUGCAUGUUUCCUAAAACCUUGUCCACUCUGUUUGAUGCACUGUCAUGUUUAGAGAUCUGUGACAUAACAACUCUGCUGGGUGCCAGAAUUCCUUCAGAGUAGACUUCAACCCAAUAGUUAACAACAUGCUUUUCAGCAAUUCUAGUCUACGUAUUCCAGUGCCAGUCUGCAUGGGACACUGUAAAUGUACCUGAUGGAUUCUGCCUAGUGCUGGGAACCUACUCCAGAGGCCCUGGGUACAUGAACUUCCCAGCAGGAAUGAAGCUCAAGAUGUUCCCACUGCCAUGUGAGGAGCCCAACAUUGUAGGCUUCACAGCAGUUAUGAAGAAUUCCUGCUAACAGAAAGAUUAUGAUUAUAA